Molecule: long non-coding RNA, 3164 nt
Filed under: Amborella trichopoda
Lineage: Eukaryota; Viridiplantae; Streptophyta; Magnoliopsida; Amborellales; Amborellaceae
Description: long non-coding RNA (ATRI_LNC002385)
Source: RNAcentral
GGCAUACGGAUACAUCCGUAUUUGUAGAGGUAAGGUGCGCUUUCUAAUUUUAUCAUGGUAUAUAAUUUUGAUGUAAAAUGUUUUUAGGAUUAUCUCAAAAUUUAUUUUUAUAUUUAAUUAUAAAAUUUUAAAUUUUAAAAAUAGUUAAAAUCAAGUAGAUCUAUAAACAAAUGAAAAUCUUAAAAGUGGACGGUGUAGAUAAUAUGAUAUAAAAUGCACUAUUUUUUAGAUUGAAAAUCUUUUUAUUUUUCAUAGUCAUACAUCUCGAUGUGGAGAUGAUCAAUCAAACAAUUUUUCAACAUUAAAACUACAUUUUCCGAUGGAUUUUUGAAGUGCAUCCGAAGCUCUACAUUAUAAAGUUGCAUCCUUAUAUAAACUUUUUCCUAAAAGAUCGGAUCUCUAUGUUUCGAAAUACAUUUUGAAGUCUUUAUUAGAUAAAUGAAAAUUAAAAAUAGAGUCUACAAAAAUAUUUUCUCAAAACAAAAUAUGCAUCUUACAAGGGAAUUUAUUUGUAAAAUUUCCUUUCUUGUUUUUACUUUGGCUCGUUUCCAUGUCAAGCGGAUUCACUGUGGUUAAAAAGUAAUUAAUGGCCAAGCAUUCACACUAGUAAAGUAAAGGAUCAUCGCAAAACCAUAUCAAAAAGAAAAAUUUUGGUACAAAGAAAAACCGUCUAAUCAAACAUUUAGACCUCGGCAAUUAUAGAUCUGGAAAUAAAAAAUUAAGCCUUAAGAUUGUGUAUUGUAACAUAUUAUUUGGGUCAAUCCUUUUUCACAUGUUCAAAAUCUAUACCUUUUUGGAACUUCAAGAGUUUGAAAAAUCAGGGGCAGAAAUAAAUUUUAGUUCCAAUCCAACGCGGAAACAACAUGUUUUUGGCAAAGUUUGGAGUUACGGCUUUAGAUAAAACUUUUUCAUCGUGCUAACCAACAAUAUCGAGAAGAAAUAUACUAGUCAACAAAUCUCAAUUACAAAAGAAACAAUCAAUUUCAAAAGAUUACAAACCUCCAAUGACCAUCUCAAACUCAUAUAAGAUAUUAACAUUUUUAGUUUUGAAAAAUACCGUGUAGUAUUUCAAAAUAAUAUACAUUCUAGGGGAAUGAUUGUUGGGUUUAUGUGGUCAUUAAAGACCUUAUAAGAGCUUGUAAAAGUGUUUUAUAUAGUGAGACAUAAACUUAGUGGGAGUGUGGUCUUCAUGUGGACCAUACUAUGUAAAUGCUAUUUGUCAAUACUCAGACUAGGCUCGAUGUUUUAGACCAGCUGAGUUUGGACAAACCAAAGUAUCUGGGUAUAGAGAUAUCACUGAGAAAGAUUUGCUUGGUUAGCCCUUGAUGAGGUUGGAGUCUGCCUAGAUGAGAGCCGAGAGACUGUGUGACCUUUGUAUGAUGAAUAGCUUUAGAGAUAAGGCUAAAACCUUAUCGUUAUAUUAUCACACGACAUGUACAUAGAUAGACGUAUUGAGAUUUAUCAUUGAGGGUGAAGCAUGUACAAGUACGAGAGAUUACCCUUAUGCACCAUUGAGUCGUAAUUGCAUCAUGGUCUGAGGAACCAUGGUUUUAUCUCUAGGGAAGAACUUGAAAUCCAUAGACUGGGAUUGCGUCCCCUAGUCUAUUGGCUAAUUUUGGUGGUCCAAUCAUGAGCCCUUGCAGUGGACUGUGGAUCAUGAAAACUGCUGGGUCAGAUUGAGAAAAAUAGGUUAAUCGUGGUCCGCAGUUGAAAGUGGAGUGCUCAUGUGCAUUGAUAAAUUCUUAGAUCGGAUUUGAUUCCCAUUAAAAUUAAUUAAUUUAUAUUAUAUGAUUUUUGAAAUGUUUAUUUGAAUUUUUGUGAAUUUUUUGAUAUUUUAUUUUUGUCAUUUGAGUUUAUAAAUUAAAAAAAAUCAUUUUCCAAUGUUUUUAAUAAGGGAAAGUAUAUAAUGAGACCAUUUACCUUUGGUACAAGAUGGGCGCAAUAAAUCUGACCACUGAAUGUGAAUUUGGGUGGCUGCAUUAUUUCAUUGACCAACUCAAAGUUCAAAAGAGUUUUUCUUGAACUUUGUGACAUCCAAGCUAUCAGAUUUCACAUCGGUUGUCUGUAGGUAAUUGUGGUCUCUUUAUUCCAAAGGUAAAUGGUCUCAUUGUAUAUAAUCCCUUUAAAUAAACUAUGAGAUUUAAAAUUUUAAAAUACAAAUUUUAUAUUUUCUAAAUUUAUGUGGGACCCUCCAUAAAAUAUGGGGACCCAUUUACACAUGUGCUAAUUGGGUUGGGGUACAUGAGAGGCACACCCCACACAUAGGGAUUACUUGAUCACCAAAUAAGGUGAUAGUUGUCUCAUGUAAGUUGGCUUUCUAAUUUUAGAUGAAGUCAACAUAAUGAAAUCAAAUAUUUGAAAUAUUUAGUAAGUUUUGUUUAUGAAGAUUGCUUGAUUCAAUAAAUAAGAAAUUGAUAUAUACUAAAAUAGAAAGUAAGAGACUUAUUUUCCUUAUUUAAAGAUUUCACGGGAAUAUGUUUAGAAAAGAGAAGAUAAUAUUUUAACACCUUUAUUUGAAUCUUGAUAGUGGAUCAAAAGUAUGGAUGACUCACAUCUCUCACCCUACAAGUCUCUUUAGAUCGACGGUCAAGAUUUGAUCUUACUAAUUAUGACAAACUCAAAAGCAUAUAAAAUAUAUAAAUAGAGGUUCUCUCACUGCAUAAAUCUCUACACCUCUUUUAUUUUCUCUCUCUAAGAAUUAUCAAUCUGUCCAAGAUCUAUCUAAAAGGGGUACACCCCAACCUAGAGCAUCAUCUCUCUCUCUCUAAGUUUUUUAAGGGGCAUGCCCCAACAUAGCUGAUCUCUCUUGGGUUUGAAAAGGAGCAUGACCCUUUCUUGGAUCGAUUGUUUGCAGGUAGCAAAGGGGAGAAUCCCCUAGCGAGUAGAUCUCUCCCUCUCUCUCUCUCUCUCUUUGAUUUUUAUCUUUUAUUUCUCUAAAGAUCAAUCCAAGGGGCUUGAGCAACGCUAAGACAUUGAGGUCUUUGGUAGUUAAUUCUAGAUCGAGAUCCAUAUGCUAUUAAGAGGGUGUUGCCACAAGUAAGAGAAGCAAGAGACUGAUCAUUGAUCCCGAGCACCAUUAGAAGGAGGUGACUCAGCAUGGGGUGUACUAAGCCCAAUUGAGGUAAUUGUCGACAAUUUUACUUCUUCAAAUUUUAUUUUUUGUU